CCUACGGGGGGCAGCAGUGGGGAAUAUUGGACAAUGGGCGAAAGCCUGAUCCAGCCAUGCCGCGUGUGUGAAGAAGGUCUUCGGAUUGUAAAGCACUUUAAGUUGGGAGGAAGGGUUGUAGAUUAAUACUCUGCAAUUUUGACGUUACCGACAGAAUAAGCACCGGCUAACUCUGUGCCAGCAGCCGCGGUAAUACAGAGGGUGCAAGCGUUAAUCGGAAUUACUGGGCGUAAAGCGCGCGUAGGUGGUUUGUUAAGUUGGAUGUGAAAUCCCCGGGCUCAACCUGGGAACUGCAUUCAAAACUGACUGACUAGAGUAUGGUAGAGGGUGGUGGAAUUUCCUGUGUAGCGGUGAAAUGCGUAGAUAUAGGAAGGAACACCAGUGGCGAAGGCGACCACCUGGACUAAUACUGACACUGAGGUGCGAAAGCGUGGGGAGCGAACAGGAUUAGAUACCCGUGUAGUC
Molecule: ribosomal RNA, 465 nt
Filed under: uncultured bacterium
Lineage: Bacteria
Description: bacterial SSU rRNA
Rfam family: Bacterial small subunit ribosomal RNA
Source: RNAcentral